This 896-nucleotide ribosomal RNA is filed under the name uncultured Flavobacterium sp. RNAcentral describes it as "bacterial SSU rRNA". It matches the Rfam family "Bacterial small subunit ribosomal RNA", at positions 34 to 933 of the family's 1533-position model. Lineage: Bacteria; Pseudomonadati; Bacteroidota; Flavobacteriia; Flavobacteriales; Flavobacteriaceae. The record is from RNAcentral.
GGCUAGCGGCAGGCUAACACAUGCAAGUCGAGGGGUAGAGGAAGCUUGCUUCCUUGAGACCGGCGCACGGGUGCGUAACGCGUAUGCAAUCUGCCUUGUACUGAGGGAUAGCCCAGAGAAAUUUGGAUUAAUACCUCAUAGCAUUAUGAAAUCGCAUGGUUUUAUAAUUAAAGUUCCAACGGUACAAGAUGAGCAUGCGUCCCAUUAGUUAGUUGGUAAGGUAACGGCUUACCAAGACGAUGAUGGGUAGGGGUCCUGAGAGGGAGAUCCCCCACACUGGUACUGAGACACGGACCAGACUCCUACGGGAGGCAGCAGUGAGGAAUAUUGGUCAAUGGACGCAAGUCUGAACCAGCCAUGCCGCGUGCAGGAUGAAGCAUCUAUGGUGUGUAAACUGCUUUUGUACGGGAAGAAACACUCCUACGUGUAGGAGCUUGACGGUACCGUAAGAAUAAGGAUCGGCUAACUCCGUGCCAGCAGCCGCGGUAAUACGGAGGAUCCAAGCGUUAUCCGGAAUCAUUGGGUUUAAAGGGUCCGUAGGCGGCUUUAUAAGUCAGUGGUGAAAGCCCAUCGCUUAACGAUGGAACGGCCAUUGAUACUGUAGAGCUUGAAUUACUUGGAAGUAACUAGAAUAUGUAGUGUAGCGGUGAAAUGCUUAGAUAUUACAUGGAAUACCAAUUGCGAAGGCAGGUUACUACAAGUGGAUUGACGCUGAUGGACGAAAGCGUGGGGAGCGAACAGGAUUAGAUACCCCUGGUAGUCCACGCCGUAAACGAUGGAUACUAGCUGUUCGGAGCAAUCUGAGUGGCUAAGCGAAAGUGAUAAGUAUCCCACCUGGGGAGUACGCACGCAAGUGUGAAACUCAAAUGAAUUGACGGAAGGCGAAUUCCAGCACA